CUCGCCGUGGGCCGACGAGGCUGGGCUAAAUCUGCGCUGUCCGUCCCUCUUUCUCUUCGUUUGAACUCAAGAAAGACUCUUUACAGAAACCCGAAAUGUGAACCUAUCUGGCUAUUUUCACUUGACUUUAACCUACCAGGAAGCUGAAAUGAGCAAUGUUCCUCAGUUAACAAGAGAGCAGGAGUGUGUGGGUGGACAUGCAAGGACACGCUGACCCCGCCUCACACCAAGAAUGUGCAAUGCCUCUGCAAGCUUACUGCCCCUGCCUCAGUUGAGUGACCAUCUUGCUGCGCCUCCUGAAGGAGAUACCACUCACCUCAAUGUUCAUGGCACCCUGCUGGUAAAUGAUGCCCUAAAACCAUCUGUACAUCUAUCACCAACAGCUUCAUGAAGCUUGCACCAUGGAUGGUGUUUCCCAUGGCCCUCCUGACCAAAAUGGGUCAUGCAUCACUGUCCUCCUGCCAGAGAAUUGGUUCCCGAUACUUUGAGUCGUCUGCACACCUACAUGCCAGAUUUAGUUCAUCAGCACCCUGGAGGGAUCUUUCCUGCUUGCCUGGCAACUGUGGGUCAGCGUCCUCCUGGGCUACCUAGUGAACUUUUCUGCCAUUUAGUGGGGCUGUAUCCACACCUCUGGUUAUCAAAUCCUAGCCUUAGAGUGGAGGCCAAGUUCAAUGUUUGCCUUCCUUAGAAACUCCUUUAGCCUCAGGAUAGUCUUUGAGUUCUCUUUUUAUAUCUUUAUAGUUGCUCCCCAUUGUUAUUAAUAAUUCUUUUAUAACGAAUUUCCCUUUUCAAAUUGGGUGAGCGCUGUCUCCUGGUUGGACCUUAACUAAUGCAAUCAUUAACAAGCUUUUUUUUUUCUCACUAAGUCUUCUAAAUGUGGGGCGUAUUUUAGUAUUUUACUCUUACAUAAUAUCUCAAUUCAGCCUACCCCUACCACAAGUGAUUGACAGGCAUAUGUGUGUCUUGCAGCUACUAUACUGGGCAGCACAGCUAUCAAUCCACUGCUUCAACUGAAGGUGACUGAAAUGGAGUUAUGUAUUUCCUUCCCAAUCCAUCUUCCUCACUAAAAUUUUCUCACAU
Long non-coding RNA from Talpa occidentalis (Iberian mole), 1080 nucleotides. RefSeq lists it as uncharacterized. The transcript has 3 exons. The record is from RefSeq and is a predicted model, not a curated record. Lineage: Eukaryota; Metazoa; Chordata; Mammalia; Eulipotyphla; Talpidae.